Small nuclear RNA from Heterocephalus glaber (naked mole-rat), 107 nucleotides. NCBI's taxonomy places the organism in Eukaryota, Metazoa, Chordata, Mammalia, Rodentia, Bathyergidae. The record is from Ensembl.
GUGCUCGCUUCAGCAGCACAUAUAUUAAAAUUAGAAUGAUACAGAGAAGAUUAGCAUGGCCCCUGCACAAGGAUGACACGCAAAUUCAUGAGGCAUUCCAUAUAUUU